RNAcentral lists this small nucleolar RNA (90 nucleotides) under Strix occidentalis caurina (northern spotted owl). RNAcentral's name for it is "Small nucleolar RNA SNORD35 (ENSSOCG00000007252.1)". It matches the Rfam family "Small nucleolar RNA SNORD35". Rfam says of the family: U35 is a C/D box snoRNA located in intron 6 of ribosomal protein L13A and intron 3 of ribosomal protein S11 in humans and at homologous positions in mouse and chicken ribosomal protein genes. The record is from Rfam by way of RNAcentral. RNAcentral also lists the same sequence under 1 other name. Lineage: Eukaryota; Metazoa; Chordata; Aves; Strigiformes; Strigidae.
GGCAGGUGAUGCUGUUCUCUCACGAUGGUCUGCCGAGCCCGGGCCAAGGGGCUCUGACGACAGUGCCAACGGCUUUACUGAUGCCAAGCC